RNAcentral lists this ribosomal RNA (743 nucleotides) under Pseudomonas sp. Its description in RNAcentral is "bacterial SSU rRNA". It matches the Rfam family "Bacterial small subunit ribosomal RNA", at positions 106 to 842 of the family's 1533-position model. The record is from RNAcentral. Lineage: Bacteria; Pseudomonadati; Pseudomonadota; Gammaproteobacteria; Pseudomonadales; Pseudomonadaceae.
GUGAGUAAUGCCUAGGAAUCUGCCUGGUAGUGGGGGAUAACGUCCGGAAACGGGCGCUAAUACCGCAUACGUCCUGAGGGAGAAAGUGGGGGAUCUUCGGACCUCACGCUAUCAGAUGAGCCUAGGUCGGAUUAGCUAGUUGGUGGGGUAAAGGCCUACCAAGGCGACGAUCCGUAACUGGUCUGAGAGGAUGAUCAGUCACACUGGAACUGAGACACGGUCCAGACUCCUACGGGAGGCAGCAGUGGGGAAUAUUGGACAAUGGGCGAAAGCCUGAUCCAGCCAUGCCGCGUGUGUGAAGAAGGUCUUCGGAUUGUAAAGCACUUUAAGUUGGGAGGAAGGGCAGUAAGUUAAUACCUUGCUGUUUUGACGUUACCAACAGAAUAAGCACCGGCUAACUUCGUGCCAGCAGCCGCGGUAAUACGAAGGGUGCAAGCGUUAAUCGGAAUUACUGGGCGUAAAGCGCGCGUAGGUGGUUCAGCAAGUUGGAUGUGAAAUCCCCGGGCUCAACCUGGGAACUGCAUCCAAAACUACUGAGCUAGAGUACGGUAGAGGGUGGUGGAAUUUCCUGUGUAGCGGUGAAAUGCGUAGAUAUAGGAAGGAACACCAGUGGCGAAGGCGACCACCUGGACUGAUACUGACACUGAGGUGCGAAAGCGUGGGGGAGCAAACAGGAUUAGAUACCCUGGUAGUCCACGCCGUAAACGGAUGUCGACUAGCCCGUUGGGAUCCUUGAGAUCUUA